Molecule: ribosomal RNA, 253 nt
Filed under: uncultured bacterium
Lineage: Bacteria
Description: partial 16S ribosomal RNA
Rfam family: Bacterial small subunit ribosomal RNA
Source: RNAcentral
UACGUAGGGGGCAAGCGUUAUCCGGAUUUACUGGGUGUAAAGGGAGCGUAGACGGCAUGGCAAGUCUGAAGUGAAAGCCCGGGGCUCAACCGCGGGACUGCUUUGGAAACUGUUAAGCUGGAGUGCAGGAGAGGUAAGUGGAAUUCCUAGUGUAGCGGUGAAAUGCGUAGAUAUUAGGAGGAACACCAGUGGCGAAGGCGGCUUACUGGACGAUUACUGACGCUGAGGCUCGAAGGUGCGGGUAUCGAACAGG